RNAcentral lists this non-coding RNA (31 nucleotides) under Mus musculus (house mouse). The record is from RNAcentral. Lineage: Eukaryota; Metazoa; Chordata; Mammalia; Rodentia; Muridae.
UUAGGUGUUAUGUUGUUUCUUUCCGGAGCGU